Y RNA from Papio anubis (olive baboon), 111 nucleotides. It matches the Rfam family "Y RNA". Rfam says of the family: Y RNAs are components of the Ro ribonucleoprotein particle (Ro RNP), in association with Ro60 and La proteins. The record is from Ensembl. Lineage: Eukaryota; Metazoa; Chordata; Mammalia; Primates; Cercopithecidae.
GACUGGCCUGAAGGUAGUUAGUUAUCUCAAUUGAUUAUUCAGUCAGUUACAGAUUGAACUCCUGGUUCUACUCUUUCCCUCCUUCUCACUACUGAACUUCACUGGCCUUAA